UGGGGAAUAUUGGACAAUGGGGGCAACCCUGAUCCAGCCAUGCCGCGUGAGUGAUGAAGGCCUUCGGGUUGUAAAGCUCUUUUGGCGGGGACGAUGAUGACGGUACCCGCAGAAUAAGCCCCGGCUAACUUCGUGCCAGCAGCCGCGGUAAGACGAAGGGGGCUAGCGUUGUUCGGAAUUACUGGGCGUAAAGCGAGUGUAGGCGGUUGCCGUAGUCAGGUGUGAAAGCCUUGAGCUCAACUCAAGAAAUGCACUUGAUACUGGGUGACUAGAGGACCGGAGAGGAUAGUGGAAUUCCCAGUGUAGUGGUGAAAUACGUAGAGAUUGGGAAGAACACCAGUGGCGAAGGCGGCUAUCUGGACGGUUACUGACGCUAAGACUCGAAAGCGUGGGGAGCAAAACAGGAUUAGAUACCCUGGUAGUCCACGCCGUAAAACGAUGGGUGCUGACGUUGGCGAGCUUGCUCGUCAGUGUCGCAGCUAACGCGUUAAGCACCCCCGCCCUGGGGAGUACGGCCCGCAAAGGGUUGAAACUCAAAAGGAAUUGCGGGGGUCAUAGCUGUUUCCU
This 567-nucleotide ribosomal RNA is filed under the name uncultured bacterium. Its description in RNAcentral is "partial 16S ribosomal RNA". It matches the Rfam family "Bacterial small subunit ribosomal RNA", at positions 355 to 938 of the family's 1533-position model. The record is from RNAcentral.